This 445-nucleotide ribosomal RNA is filed under the name uncultured bacterium. Its description in RNAcentral is "partial 16S ribosomal RNA". It matches the Rfam family "Bacterial small subunit ribosomal RNA", at positions 331 to 792 of the family's 1533-position model. The record is from RNAcentral.
CCAGACUCCUACGGGAGGCAGCAGUGGGGGAUAUUGCACAAUGGGGGGAACCCUGAUGCAGCGACGCCGCGUGGGUGAAGGAGUAUUUCGGUAUGUAAAGCCCUAUCGGCAGGGAAGAAGAAAGACGGUACCUGACUAAGAAGCCCCGGCUAACUACGUGCCAGCAGCCGCGGUAAUACGUAGGGGGCAAGCGUUAUCCGGAUUUACUGGGUGUAAAGGGAGCGUAGACGGCAUGGCAAGUCAGAUGUGAAAGCCCGGGGCUCAACCCCGGGACUGCAUUUGAAGCUGUCAGGCUGGAGUGCAGGAGAGGUAAGUGGAAUUCCUAGUGUAGCGGUGAAAUGCGUAGAUAUUAGGAGGAACACCAGUGGCGAAGGCGGCUUACUGGACGGCAACUGACGCUGAGGCUCGAAAGCGUGGGGAGCAAACAGGAUUAGAUACCCUUGUA